GGGUAUAAAGUUUAAAUUUAUAAUAGAAAGUGUAUUUAAUUUAAAAUAUUACAAAACAAUAGUUACGUAAAAGGGAAUGGUUUUCUAUUUUAAUAAGAGAGUCAAAAUAUUAAGAUAGUACAAUUAAAGAGUUCAAAUGGGUAUAAAAUAUAAACUUAUAAUAUGGUGAAGCCUGGGUAUGGUUUCUGCUCAUGGAUCACUUGAAGGGGAAUGAAAGAGGGUUGUCCGUGGAGGCUACUAGCACUCUGCUGGACUAUGGACGUUUCUCUGAAGCUAUGGAAUGGCGACAUAGAUGAUUUUCUACUCAAAGACACAAGAUUACCAUGUAUUGUCUUAGAAGGUUUUCACUAAGAAAUUCCUUCCCUAAGGUGAGAUCAAUGUUCCUUCAGCUAAACAGAGAAAACAAGAAACGAGACAACUCUUUGCUGUAAGUUUUUGAUUGAAAAGUUGAAUGGUUUCUCUCAAAGACUGUGUACAAAGUAAAUAGAAAACUCCCAGCUACCCUAAUCAUAAACCGAGAUGGUUUAAUCUAAUUCCUAAUCCUGAUCCCAAUUCGAAAUUGGUUUAUUAAAUCCUAAUCCCACCCGAAAUUGGUUUACUAAUCCUAACUGUCUUUGGUUUAAUUUAAAUGAAAUCAAUUACACAGAAAUAACAUUAAACCAACAGGCUGGUUUAUCUUGAAUCUCUCCUUUUGGUUUAUUCCCCAUGUUUUUGGCUAAGUGUUGGAGACUCUCUUCUUGUGCUUUCAACCUUGAUCGAGUAACUAGUCCACUCCACACAGCUUCAAGUUCCUCUUCCAAGUCAGUCUCUUUGGCAGCACCUUUAUCCCCUUGCUCAGGUUCAAUCAGUUCUUCCUCGUCAGAUUCACUCAGCUCUCCAAUGUCUCGACUCAUGACUGCACCAUAAUAGAAGGUGUAUUUAAUUUAAAAUAUUACA
RNAcentral lists this long non-coding RNA (936 nucleotides) under Brassica napus (rape). Its description in RNAcentral is "long non-coding RNA (BNAP_LNC017587)". The record is from RNAcentral. Lineage: Eukaryota; Viridiplantae; Streptophyta; Magnoliopsida; Brassicales; Brassicaceae.